RNAcentral lists this ribosomal RNA (424 nucleotides) under uncultured bacterium. RNAcentral's name for it is "partial 16S ribosomal RNA". It matches the Rfam family "Bacterial small subunit ribosomal RNA", at positions 360 to 776 of the family's 1533-position model. The record is from RNAcentral.
AAUAUUGGACAAUGGGCGAAAGCCUGAUCCAGCCAUGCCGCGCGUGUGAAGAAGGUCUUCGGAUUGUAAAGCACUUCAUGUUCGGAGGAGUGGUUGUAGGUUAAUACCCUGCAAUUUUGACGUCACCAACAGAAUAAGCACCCGCUAACUUCCUUCCAGCCGCCGCGGUAAUACGAAGGGUGCAAGCGUUAAUCGGAAUUACUGGGCGUAAAGCGCGCGUAGGUGGUUCGUUAAGUUGGAAGUGAAAGCCCCGGGCUUAACCUGGGAAUUGCUUUCAAAACUGACGAGCUAGAGUACGGUAGAGGGUAGUGGAAUUUCCUGUGUAGCGGUGAAAUGCGUAGAUAUAGGAAGGAACAUCAGUGGCGAAGGCGACUACCUGGACUGAUACUGACACUGAGGUGCGAAAGCGUGGGGAGCAAACAGG